AGGAAGGCGGAGGUCGACCGUGGCAGGGGUUCGGGGGUGCGGGCGGGGGGGGGGGUGGGAAGCACCCACUUGCGCUGUUUUUUCCGGGAGGCGGGGCUGCAGCUACGUUGGGUGGAGCCUGUGAGGAGUGGCAGACGCUCUGCCUCCGCGGGUAUUGCUAGUUUCUUUUUUGAUCGUGGGGCCCAAGUCCAGUCUCUGUUACCUGGGGAAUAUCGGUCCGCACUUGUGAAGGAGUUUAGCCUUUCUGCUGUGUUGCGUUCUUGGAACACGAGCAUAAUCGAUGGUACUAAGCUGAUGUUCAUAAAUAGGGUUGUUGUCAAGAUGGAGUGCCUAACCCAGUAAUCCAUGGACCAGGCCCUGAGUCCACAAAGCAUGAUCUCCUUCUGUCCACUCUGUGGCAAAAGUGUCAAAGUAUCAUUCAAGUUCUGCCCUUACUGUGGCGAGGCCCUGCCUGUAGAGGAGGAUGGAGGCACCCAGACUGGCAUUACGCCUCUUGUGUCACCCUUUCGAGGCUCCAAGAGAGACCUGAACUCCAGUUCUGAAACCUCCCCCAAGAAAGUGAAAUGGUCACGCACUGUCACUUCUCUCCCGCUCUCCCUCCACUCUGACUAUGACAGUUCUGGAUCUGAUGACACCUUGAGUUCUCCUGACAGAGCCACAGGCACCCGGAGCAGAUCCCAGACCCCUAAAGGCAGCCCACUUGCCAACAGGCUGAGCCCUCGGACACUGAAGCGGAGCCGGGUGACCACCUCACUCCAGGCUCUGCCCACAGGGACAGAGCUGACAGACCAGAAUGGGAAGCACUGGACACUGGGGACCCUGCAGACCCGGGAUGACCAAGGCAUUCUCUAUGCAGCUGAGCCUACUUCUGCCAUCUCCAGUGAAUCAAGGACCCAGAAGUGGAGAUUCUCCCUCAAACUGGACUCCAAAGACGGGCGCCUUUUCAAUGAGCAGAACUUCUUUCAGAGAGCAGCCAAGCCUCUGCAAGUGAACAAGUGGAAGAAGCGGUGCUUGACCCCGCUCCUGGCCAUCCCCACCUGCAUCGGCUUUGGCGUUCACCAGGACAAGUACAGGUUCCUAGUGUUCCCCAGCCUGGGGAGGAGCCUUCAGUCAGCCCUGGACGACAACCCGAAGCAUGUGGUAUCCGAGAGAUGUAUGCUGCAGGUGGCCUGCAGGCUGCUGGAUGCUCUGGAGUAUCUCCAUGAACACGAGUAUGUUCACGGGAACCUGACCACUGAGAAUGUCUUUGUGAAUCCAGAGGACCUGAGCCAGGUGACCCUGGUGGGCUAUGGCUUCACCUACCGAUACUGCCCAGGUGGCAAGCACGUGGCCUAUAAAGAAGGCAGCAGGAGUCUACACGAUGGGGACCUGGAGUUCAUUAGCAUGGACGUGCACAAGGGAUGCGGGCCCUCCCGCCGCAGCGAUCUCCAGACCUUGGGCUACUGUAUGCUCAAGUGGCUUUAUGGGUCCCUGCCAUGGACAAACUGCCUUCCCAACACUGAAGAGAUAACUAAGCAGAAGCAGAAGUAUCAGGACAACCCUGAGCCCCUGGUGGGACUGUGUGGCCGCUGGAACAAGACCUCAGUAACAGGGUUACAACCACAUACACAAUUCUUGAGUUGUUUGGAGCUGGGAAUGGAUUCCAGGGCUGGUGCGUGCCAGAGUCUCCUACACCAACCUAGACUGGCUUCACACUUGCUGUGCUGGGAUCACAGGCAAGCACCAUGCCUACAUACACAUACUUUUUUUUUUUAGCUUUUAUUUAUUUUUAUUUUGUAUGUGUAUGUGUGUGUCCCAGCAUGAGUAUGGAGGUAAGAAGACAACUUCAGUGGGGAUCUCCUUGUAGGUUUUCCUUGCAGGAGUCUGUUGGGAAGCAGUACAGGGUGAGAAGAGGAUGAGGGUUGGUCAUUGGCUGGCUGGUGAGCACUCUGGUGUUUACCAUUCGCCGCCACUCCACUGAUGCUUCCCACAUACAGCGGCGGAUGCAAGGACGUCACGUGGUGCUGGGCACAGGCUGCAAGCACCACCCCUUGGGCCUCACCUUUGCUUCUGGGUGUCUUGACCACAGAGACCUUGCGGGAGUACCUGAAGGUGGUGAUGGCCCUUGAUUACGAGGAGAAGCCGCCCUAUGCCACGCUGAGGAACAAUCUAGAAGUUCUGCUGCAGAAUAUGCGGGUGUCACCCUAUGACCCCCUGGACCUCCAGAUGGUGCCUUAGGUGGAAUCCAGAGAUUCUGAUGUGCAGCUUGAAGUAGAACAUGAAGUAGUGUGACUCGGGGCCUUGUUUGAAGUCAUAGCUCCUCAAAGAAUCCCUUGAAUGUAUAUUCUUGCCACUCCCUUAAGACUUACAAAUCAGCACUGGUGUUGGGGAACCUGAGUGGUGCCCCGUGAUGUGAAACUCCUCUCUAUCCCUCAGCCCUGCAGUUGUGAAUGGAGGUGAGUGGAGGCUCCAUAGGACCUUCCUGUGAUGUCAUAAUAAACUGUUUUAAUCAAAA
Molecule: RNA transcript, 2494 nt
Organism: Rattus norvegicus (Norway rat)
Lineage: Eukaryota; Metazoa; Chordata; Mammalia; Rodentia; Muridae
Gene: Vrk3
Gene name: VRK serine/threonine kinase 3
Source: RefSeq, marked validated